This 486-nucleotide ribosomal RNA is filed under the name uncultured bacterium. Its description in RNAcentral is "partial 16S ribosomal RNA". It matches the Rfam family "Bacterial small subunit ribosomal RNA", at positions 28 to 507 of the family's 1533-position model. The record is from RNAcentral.
GAUGAACGCUGGCGGCGUGCCUAAUACAUGCAAGUCGAACGCUGGAGAUCUAGCUUGCUAGAUCGAAGGAGUGGCGAACGGGUGAGUAAUACAUAAGCAACCUACCCACGAAGACUGGGAUAAUCUCUGGAAACGGGGACUAAUACCGGAUAGGUAAUCGGAAGGCAUCUUCUGGUUAUUAAAGGUUAAAAACACUGGUGGAUGGGCUUAUGGCGCAUUAGUUAGUUGGUGAGGUAACGGCCCACCAAGACGAUGAUGCGUAGCCGGCCUGAGAGGGUGAACGGCCACAUUGGGACUGAGACACGGCCCAGACGCCUACGGGAGGCAGCAGUAGGGAAUUUUCGGCAAUGGGGGCAACCCUGACCGAGCAACGCCGCGUGAGUGAAGACGGCCUUCGGGUUGUAAAGCUCUGUUGUAAGGGAAGAACGGUAGAUAGAGAAUAUCUAAGUGACGGUACCUGACCAGAAAGCCACGGCUAACUACGUG